CACGGACCAAGGAGUUUAGCGUGUGCGCGAGUCAUUGGGUGAAAAACCUAAAGGCGGAAUGAAAGUAAAGGAAACUUAGCUUUCUGAGGGAGGAUGGGUUACCUGCCUUUACAGGCGGUGCCCCGCACUCCCGGGGCGUCUCUUUCUCAUUACGAGUGGAGGCGCACCUUUAGCGUACACGCUGAUACCCGAAAGAUGGUGAACUAUGCCUGGCCAGGACGAAGCCAGGGGAAACCCUGGUGGAGGUCCGCAGCGAUUCUGACGUGCAAAUCGAUCGUCGGAGCUUGGUAUAGGGGCGAAAGACCAAUCGAACCAUCUAGUAGCUGGUUCCCUCUGAAGUUUCCCUCAGGAUAGCUUGCGCUCGGUUGAGACGAGUCUCAUCCGGUAGAGCGAAUGAUUAGAGGCCUUGGGGUCGAAACGACCUCAACCUAUUCUCAAACUCCAAAUAGAUGAGAUCCCCGGCUUGCUUGAAAGUGAAGCCGGGACUCGGAUCAGAGUGCCAAGUGGGCCAAUUUUGGUAAGCAGAACUGGCGCUGUGGGAUGAACCAAACGCGGAGUUAAGGCGCCUGAAUCGACGCUCAUGUGAAACCAUGAAAGGCGUUGGUUGCUAAGACAGCAGAAG
RNAcentral lists this ribosomal RNA (622 nucleotides) under Himacerus apterus. RNAcentral's name for it is "eukaryotic LSU rRNA". It matches the Rfam family "Eukaryotic large subunit ribosomal RNA", at positions 660 to 1246 of the family's 3401-position model. The record is from RNAcentral. Lineage: Eukaryota; Metazoa; Arthropoda; Insecta; Hemiptera; Nabidae.